CUGAGGCGGGUGUGCUUGGAGAAGGGGUGCCAUGGCUCUCCUCCCACCACUUCAAGUCACAUGAGGGGCCCCCAGGGAAUGACUGGGAGAGAUGCAGCACCUGCCUGGGGAAGGGGCAUGGGGGAGGACCCCACACCCUGGCUACCUGUUGAGUGGUUGUGGAAACACACAGGCCCUUCCUAUCUGGAGCUUGCCAUGGACCCCACAAGUUUGACACAUACAUGGAUUUAGAGACUGGUGCCUGCUUAUUGCCAGAAGCUUGAAGGUGGCAGGUUAGCCAAGCAGCCUGAGAUGGCCAGGAAGUGGGAAUAGCCUGCACCCACCUUUUAUAGUGAAAAGGAUGACGGGAAACUCCAGAGAAAGUGGCCUGUGGACCUCUUGAAGAUACAGAAAUUGCUACAGCCACCCCAGCCUUCAGGAACCACCACCCUGAUCAGUCAGCAGCCACCAACACCAAGGCAGAACCCUCCACCAGCAAAAAGAUGAUGACUCACUGAACGUUCAGAUGAUUGUUAGCAUUUUUUUGCAAUAAAGAUUUUUUAAUUUAAA
Molecule: long non-coding RNA, 549 nt
Organism: Gorilla gorilla gorilla (western lowland gorilla)
Lineage: Eukaryota; Metazoa; Chordata; Mammalia; Primates; Hominidae
Exons: 2
Source: RefSeq, a predicted model, not a curated record